RNAcentral lists this ribosomal RNA (406 nucleotides) under uncultured bacterium. RNAcentral describes it as "partial 16S ribosomal RNA". It matches the Rfam family "Bacterial small subunit ribosomal RNA", at positions 30 to 526 of the family's 1533-position model. The record is from RNAcentral.
AUUGAACGCUGGCGGCAGGCCUAACACAUGCAAGUCGAGCGAGCGGCGGACGGGUGAGUAAUGUCUGGGAAACUGCCUGAUGGAGGGGGAUAACUACUGGAAACGGUAGCUAAUACCGCAUACCAUCGGAUGUGCCAAAAUGGGAUUAGCUAGUAGGUGGGGUAACGUCUCACCUAGGCGACGAUCCCUAGCUGGUCUGAGAGGAUUACCAGCCACACUGGAACUGAGACACGGUCCAGACUCCUACGGGAGGCAGCAGUGGGGAAUAUUGCGCAAUGGGCGAAAGCCUGAUGCAGCCAUGCAGCGUGUAUGAAGAAGGCCUUCGGGUUGUAAAGUACUUUCAUCGGGGAGGCGUUACCCGCAGAAGAAGCACCGGCUAACUCCGUGCCAGCAGCCGCGGUAAUAC